This 222-nucleotide ribosomal RNA is filed under the name Triticum aestivum (bread wheat). Its description in RNAcentral is "partial small subunit ribosomal RNA". The record is from RNAcentral. Lineage: Eukaryota; Viridiplantae; Streptophyta; Magnoliopsida; Poales; Poaceae.
AUGCCGCCUCACCUCCUCCCUGGAUCUCGUGCCAUCCUCCCCCACACACUGCCGCUGACGAAGGGAGCAACCACCGGUGUGGACUGCUCCACCACCUACCGGCCUUCACCACUCCCCUCCACCAACAUCGGCCCCGCCCCAUCCACAGAGCCUGGCGUCCCCCAUCUCCCUCCACCUUCCUCUAUGCGUGAUGGACGCCAUGGCACGGGACCGGACGAGUAG